AGAAUCAACGCUGGCGGCGUGCCUCAGACAUGCGAGUCGAACGCGAAAGUCCCCUUCGGGGGCAAGUAGAGUGGCGCACGGGUGAGUAACACGUAGGUAAUCUACCUUCGGAUGGGGAAUAACAAUCGGAAACGGUUGCUAAUACCGCAUAAUGCAGCGGCACCUAAUGGUGACAGUUGUUAAAGCGGGGGAUCGAAAGACCUCGCGUCUGAAGAGGAGCCUGCGGCGGAUUAGCUAGUUGGUAGGGUAACGGCUUACCAAGGCAACGAUCC
Molecule: ribosomal RNA, 272 nt
Filed under: uncultured soil bacterium
Lineage: Bacteria
Description: partial 16S ribosomal RNA
Rfam family: Bacterial small subunit ribosomal RNA
Source: RNAcentral